UACGGGGGGGGCAAGCGUUGUUCGGAAUUACUGGGCGUAAAGGGCUCGUAGGCGGCCAACUAAGUCAGACGUGAAAUCCCUCGGCUUAACCGGGGAACUGCGUCUGAUACUGGAUGGCUUGAGUUCGGGAGAGGGAUGCGGAAUUCCAGGUGUAGCGGUGAAAUGCGUAGAUAUCUGGAGGAACACCGGUGGCGAAGGCGGCAUCCUGGACCGAAACUGACGUUGAGGAGCGAAAGCCAGGGGAGCAAACGGG
RNAcentral lists this ribosomal RNA (253 nucleotides) under uncultured bacterium. RNAcentral's name for it is "partial 16S ribosomal RNA". It matches the Rfam family "Bacterial small subunit ribosomal RNA", at positions 524 to 776 of the family's 1533-position model. The record is from RNAcentral.